AUAGAGCCCUUUCAUCUGCUACUUGUGAAUUAUAAUGGCUGCUUUAUCUAUUGAGUGAUUUGAAAAUCAAGUGUAUAAGGCCUCCUGUAUUGUAUUGUGAGAAUGAAAGUGUCAUUCAUAUAGCUUCCAACCCUGUCUCCCAUGAAAGAACGAAACAUCUAGACAUAGACUGUCAUUUGGUUCGUGAUAAGGUGCUAAACUUUGUAUGAUGCUAGACCUUCUUGGUGAUUCGGGCUCUGUAACUGGGGUAGAUGCUGCAAGGCAUCGAUUAUCAGUGUGCUUGUUUAUUGUCAAAUGAGUUGACAGAGAUAGAUGCUGCCAGAAAUUGGCCUUGCAAGGAUGGCGGCAUACCAAAAACAUGGCGAUUUGACCCAUUAACAUCACAAACUAGCGGACUUUUUGUGGCGAAGUUCAGAAAAGUGAUUCUCUUUGAUCUUCUCGUUACAUCUUCAGAGAAAAUAUUUGUUUCAAACUUUCAAUAGCCAAAUAGUUUAGAUGUUCGCCAUGUAUGCUAGAAGGUUUCAUAGAAUAGAUAUUUUGUUAUAUUAUUAUUAUUAUACGGUGAUGCUGGUCCUUAAUAAGUAUUCCCU
Long non-coding RNA from Trifolium pratense (red clover), 590 nucleotides. RefSeq lists it as uncharacterized. NCBI's taxonomy places the organism in Eukaryota, Viridiplantae, Streptophyta, Magnoliopsida, Fabales, Fabaceae. The transcript is spliced from 3 exons. The record is from RefSeq and is a predicted model, not a curated record.